GACGAACGCUGGCGGCGUGCUUAACACAUGCAAGUCGAACGGAAAGGCCCUGCUUUUGUGGGGUGCUCGAGUGGCGAACGGGUGAGUAACACGUGAGUAACCUGCCCUUGACUUUGGGAUAACUUCAGGAAACUGGGGCUAAUACCGGAUAGGAGCUCCUGCGGCAUGGUGGGGGUUGGAAAGUUUCGGCGGUUGGGGAUGGACUCGCGGCUUAUCAGCUUGUUGGUGGGGUAGUGGCUUACCAAGGCUUUGACGGGUAGCCGGCCUGAGAGGGUGACCGGCCACAUUGGGACUGAGAUAAGGCCCAGACUCCUACGGGAGGCAGCAGUGGGGAAUAUUGCACAAUGGGCGGAAGCCUGAUGCAGCAACGCCGCGUGCGGGAUGACGGCCUUCGGGUUGUAAACCGCUUUCGCCUGUGACGAAGCGUGAGUGACGGUAAUGGGUAAAGAAGCACCGGCUAACUACGUG
Molecule: ribosomal RNA, 468 nt
Filed under: uncultured bacterium
Lineage: Bacteria
Description: partial 16S ribosomal RNA
Rfam family: Bacterial small subunit ribosomal RNA
Source: RNAcentral